AUAGCAUUAGGAGAUAUACCUAAUGUAAAUGAUGAGUUAAUGGGUGCAGCACACCAACAUGGCACAUGUAUACCUAUGUAACAAACCUGCACAUUGUGUACAUGUACCCUAGAACUUAAAGUAUAAUUAAAAAACAAAACAAAACAAAACAAAAACAAUGAGGUGCUAUUGUUUUAGUGGUGAGUAUCCGGAGACCUGGGAGUUCUAUUUACCAGGUAUAACCUGGGCUCAAAAUUCCAGGCUGACUUCAGGCAUGUCCUCAUCUCAUAGAUGCCAGCACUAAGGCCCAGAGAGGGCCGAGCUCAUUCAGCCCACCCAUCUUCUCACCCCUGACUGCAUUUCCCGGGGGUCCUUCUGCAGCCAGGUGCUGCUGUGGUACUUUGGGAUCUAUUGGCUGAGCUCCCAGAGAAGGGUCAUGGAUUGGGCUAGUUUGGAACAAGUGAAGGGACUGAAGAUGGGCUCAGUAUGGGGCGAAGACCUUCAGGAAGGGUCUGCAGAGUGAGUAGGGGGGUUUUGACUAGGAAAAGUUCCAACCCUGCCGGGGCCGCUGUCAAGAGAAAAGCAUCUAUUACAGUUACAUUUUUAAGUUAAGUAGACUGAAGAAUAUUUCUUGUGUAUUAAAGACGUUCCUUUUUGGUUGAUUUGCAAUGGAAAAGCUUUUGUUUUCUUUUUUUUUUUGGAAACAGGGUCUCACUCUGCUCACUCUGUCUCCCAAGCUGGAGUGCAGUGGUACAGUCACGGCUCACUGCAGCCUCCACUUCCUGGACUCAAGUGAUCUUCUCACUUCAGCCUUCUGAGUAGCUGGGACUACAGCCCCCUCUGCAGCUCUUCAUGGGGGUCCACUCAAGUCAGAAGCCACAUUUGGGUGUGAUUCAGAGAGCUGUUUAUGCAAAACCAGCUUUGUCACCAUCAGGCAAGGCACCUGAAUUCCCACCGCAGAGAGUGUUGUGGCCGUGAGGACUUUUCUGUCACCAGCCAUUUCCAGGUAGACCCAGUGUAAUCACAAGCAUCCUUGUAAGUGGCAAAGAGGCAGAGGAGACAGCGCCAGAGAGGCAGCUGCAUGAGAAGGAUCAAGAUGUUGCUGACUUUGAAGUUGGAAGAAGAAGGCCAUGAGCCUCAGUAUGUGGGCGGCUUCUAGAAGCUGGAAGGGGCAAGGAGAUGGAUUUGACCCUUCAGCCUCCAGGGGCAGCUGUACCUGCCAUCACUGAUUGUAGCCUGGUGAGGCCUGUUUUAGACUUCUGACCUGUAGAGCUGUAACAUAAUACAUUUGGGUUGUUUUCAACCACUAAGUUUGUGGUAAUUUGUUGUAGCAGCUGUAGAAAAUGAAUACAUAUGAAUCCUCUGGCAUUUGUUUGAGAUUUGCUCUAUGGCCUAGUAUGUGGUUGUAAAUGUUCCAUCUGUGCCUGAAAAAAUGUAUAUUUCUAAUUCAGUAGUCUCUGCUUUUUUUUUUUAUUUUGUACCCCAUCAAUAAAAUGAUUUUCAGCAUGUAUCCCCAAAUAAACAA
RNAcentral lists this long non-coding RNA (1504 nucleotides) under Homo sapiens (human). RNAcentral describes it as "non-protein coding CD27-AS1:20". The record is from RNAcentral. Lineage: Eukaryota; Metazoa; Chordata; Mammalia; Primates; Hominidae.